AUUGAACGCUGGCGGCAGGCCUAACACAUGCAAGUCGAGUGGAUGAAGAGAGCUUGCUCUCUGAUUCAGCGGCGGACGGGUGAGUAAUGCCUAGGAAUCUGCCUGGUAGUGGGGGACAACGUUUCGAAAGGAACGCUAAUACCGCAUACGUCCUACGGGAGAAAGCAGGGGACCUUCGGGCCUUGCGCUAUCAGAUGAGCCUAGGUCGGAUUAGCUAGUUGGUGGGGUAAUGGCCCACCAAGGCGACGAUCCGUAACUGGUCUGAGAGGAUGAUCAGUCACACUGGAACUGAGACACGGUCCAGACUCCUACGGGAGGCAGCAGUGGGGAAUAUUGGACAAUGGGCGAAAGCCUGAUCCAGCCAUGCCGCGUGUGUGAAGAAGGUCUUCGGAUUGUAAAGCACUUUAAGUUGGGAGGAAGGGCAUUAACCUAAUACGUUAGUGUUUUGACGUUACCAACAGAAUAAGCACCGGCUAACUUCGUGCCAGCCGCCGCCGUAA
This 500-nucleotide ribosomal RNA is filed under the name uncultured bacterium. RNAcentral describes it as "partial 16S ribosomal RNA". It matches the Rfam family "Bacterial small subunit ribosomal RNA", at positions 30 to 523 of the family's 1533-position model. The record is from RNAcentral.